UGGCCCUGCCAACCUUUUCACUAGUGACACUGAGGAUGAUGUUCUCCAGCUUUCUCUGUACCCUUAGCUGUGACCUGGCCCAGCCUGCCAGAAGCAGGAGACCUUCACAGUUCUUCACCAAAUGGAAGAAUCUUCCUUUUCUUCCUGUCUGAAGGACAAGAAUGUUUUCAGGUUCUCCUGGAGCAGAUGGAUGGCACCAAAUUCCAAAAGGCUCAGGCCACCAAUAUUCUCCAUGAGAUGAUCCAGCAGAUCUCCAAUGUUUUCAGCACAAAGGGCUGAAAUUCCUCACUGGGCUUGGUCAGUAGCUAGAAUUUCUGGAGAACUGUUUGGAACAGGAAAUGGAAGAGACCUUGGGUAGAACUCCAGCCUGGCUGUGAUGGGUUAUUCCCAAAGGACCAGUCUCUAGCUGAAAAAGAAAGUACAUAGCUGCUGUGCCCAGGACAUUGUCCUACCAGAAAUUAAGAAGUAAAAAUCAGUAAGUUAUUUCUCUGUGCUAAUAGGCUUAUCAGAAAACUCAGAAGUUUGG
Molecule: long non-coding RNA, 526 nt
Filed under: Homo sapiens (human)
Lineage: Eukaryota; Metazoa; Chordata; Mammalia; Primates; Hominidae
Description: non-protein coding lnc-IFNA2-2:1
Source: RNAcentral